UAAAUAACAAUCAUUGAGCUUGCAGCGAAUCAAUUGUUGUAGUAAAAAUUUAAUUUAUACUACAACAAUUGAUUCGCUGCAAGCUCAAUGAUUGUUAAC
Paramuricea clavata is the source of this 99-nucleotide non-coding RNA. The record is from the annotation of a GenBank genome assembly. NCBI's taxonomy places the organism in Eukaryota, Metazoa, Cnidaria, Anthozoa, Malacalcyonacea, Plexauridae.